RNAcentral lists this ribosomal RNA (253 nucleotides) under uncultured bacterium. Its description in RNAcentral is "partial 16S ribosomal RNA". It matches the Rfam family "Bacterial small subunit ribosomal RNA", at positions 524 to 776 of the family's 1533-position model. The record is from RNAcentral.
UACGUAGGGGGCAAGCGUUGUCCGGAUUUAUUGGGCGUAAGGAGCGUGUAGGCGGCCAGACAGGUCCGUUGUGAAAACUCGAGGCUCAACCUCGAGACGCCGAUGGAAACCGUCUGGCUAGAGUCCGGAAGAGGAGAGUGGAAUUCCUGGUGUAGCGGUGAAAUGCGCAGAUAUCAGGAAGAACACCCGUGGCUAAGGCGGCUCUCUAGUACGGUACUGACGCUGAGACGCGAAAGCGUGGGGAGCGAACAGG